RNAcentral lists this ribosomal RNA (427 nucleotides) under uncultured Gammaproteobacteria bacterium. RNAcentral describes it as "bacterial SSU rRNA". It matches the Rfam family "Bacterial small subunit ribosomal RNA", at positions 8 to 431 of the family's 1533-position model. Lineage: Bacteria; Pseudomonadati; Pseudomonadota; Gammaproteobacteria. The record is from RNAcentral.
AGAGUUUGAUCCUGGCUCAGAUUGAACGCUGGCGGUAUGCUUAACACAUGCAAGUCGAACGGAAACGAUGGUAGCUUGCUACCAGGCGUCGAGUGGCGGACGGGUGAGUAACGCGUAGGAAUCUGCCUGAUAGUGGGGGAUAGCCCAGAGAAAUCUGGAUUAAUACCGCAUAAUCUCUAUGGAGUAAAGGAGCCCUCUUCUUGAAAGGUUUCGCUAUCAGAUGAGCCUGCGUAAGAUUAGCUUGUUGGUGAGGUAAAAGCUCACCAAGGCGACGAUCUUUAGCUGGUCUGAGAGGAUGAUCAGCCACACUGGAACUGAGACACGGUCCAGACUCCUACGGGAGGCAGCAGUGGGGAAUAUUGGACAAUGGGCGCAAGCCUGAUCCAGCAAUACCGCGUGUGUGAAGAAGGCCUGAGGGUUGUAAAGC